RNAcentral lists this long non-coding RNA (853 nucleotides) under Monodelphis domestica (gray short-tailed opossum). RNAcentral's name for it is "lncRNA (ENSMODG00000050009.1)". Lineage: Eukaryota; Metazoa; Chordata; Mammalia; Didelphimorphia; Didelphidae. The record is from RNAcentral.
AAGCAGUGGAGGGUGGGGUGGUGGAGAGGGAGAUGCCAUAGCAUCAAAGAGUAUGUGUCAAGGAAUAAAGUAUAAGAAGCCUGGAAAGGUUAGAGUAGGGACUAAAUUAUGAAGAGCUUUGACUCGGACUUUAGGAAAUUUUCCAAAAAGUCUUGAAAUGAAAAGGAGUUUCUCGUUAAGCAUUAGUUACUAACUAGAAAGUUAAAUUAUCCAGAACCUCCAUUCCCUAGACAUUCUACCUAUUUGUGAUUUUAUAGAAUUAUCACUCUUUAGAAACCAAGCAGAAAACACAGGCCUGAGAGAAAUUAGGCUGUUACUAAAAACAGAUGCUAUAUCUGAAAUGAUAAAUCUGUCUCCCCAGUAAGAUGAGACAUGUCUGUGAGUUAUGGUAGAUGACAGACUGAACUUUGAUGAGAAAUCACUCUGUCCUGUUCUCCCUUCCCGAUUAGAUCACCAUCACCUUUACCAUCAUUAAGGCAUAUUCUGUGUCAGCUCAGGGACCAUGUGUGAGUGGGUAAGACUCAUCUGGAAACUGAGAAGGCUAUGGAUAAUCAGUUGAUUUGCAGGGCUCUGGGAUGCUGGGACAACAGAGGAAGGUGCUGGAUGCAUCAGAAAAAAUUUCCAUCGAUUAUUGGACUCUACGUUCUCUGGAUGAUUGGACGUGAAGUGGCUGCUGUCUCCACUGUAAUACUGUAUCACAUGUGGCAGAGAGGUAAAAAAAGGAUGGGAAAAGAACCUCAGAUUUGGCAGUUAAGAAAUCACUGACUGUCUUGGAGAGAACAGUUUAGGUGAGUGGUGAAGUAGAAGACUGUUGCAAGCAGUAGAGAAUAAAGCAGAAAGGGAAAUGGAAUCA